Molecule: ribosomal RNA, 445 nt
Filed under: uncultured bacterium
Lineage: Bacteria
Description: partial 16S ribosomal RNA
Rfam family: Bacterial small subunit ribosomal RNA
Source: RNAcentral
GUAGGGAAUAUUGGGCAAUGGAGGCAACUCUGACCCAGCCAUGCCGCGUGCAGGAUGACGGCCCUCUGGGUUGUAAACUGCUUUUAUACGGGAAGAAAAAAUACUACGUGUAGUAUACUGACGGUACCGUAAGAAUAAGGAUCGGCUAACUCCGUGCCAGCAGCCGCGGUAAUACGGAGGAUCCAAGCGUUGUCCGGAUUUAUUGGGUUUAAAGGGUGCGUAGGCGGAUCUUUAAGUCAGUGGUGAAAGCCUGCAGCUUAACUGUAGAAUUGCCAUUGAAACUGAAGCUCUUGAAUGUGGUUAAAGUAGGCGGAAUGUAUCAUGUAGCGGUGAAAUGCUUAGGUAUGAUACAGAAAACCGAUAGCGAAGGCAGCUUGCUGAACCAUUAUUCACGCUGAGGCACGAAAGCGUGGGGAGCGAACAGGAUUAGAAACCCGGGUAGUCC